CGUAGCAGCAGCAACAGCCGGUGGCACGACCUCUUCAGCCUCCACUGAUAACUUUAACUGACUCGACAGAAAAAUCAUACUCCGUUAUCACUGCAACGUCUGCGUCAAUCCAUAUUUAUCUAAGAGACUUGUCGAGAUAACAAUAACUAGUAAUUAUUUUAAAAAGGAUGAAUUGUUUUGUCGAAGAGGAAUUAAAAAAGAGAAAAAAAAAAUAACAAAUUUUCUCAUCACGAUGAUAAAUAAAUUAAUCAUACCAACGGAACAAUAACUACUUAAUUAAAUGUUAACAAACGUUACACAAUUACGUCAUUGCGAUCGGUAAUCUCGAAAAACAACGACGAAGACUUUGUCAUCUUCGGAAGCGUGGUCGAUCGUGAAUCACGAUCGUGUGUUAUAAGCUCGUGUCGCGUUAUUAUAAUAAGCCGGAUAAAUAUCGGCAAGCAAAAGGCACGACACAACGAAGCAAAAGAGAAAGAGAGAGUGGGAGAAGAGAAUUUUCCUCGUACGAUUUCGCUGUACUCAUGACUUCUCGAAUAAUAAUCCCGGAACGGAAGGAAACGUUACAAAGAAGCGACAGGAAGUAACUUCCGUGUUAUUUGAUAAUAAACGCGACUGUAUGAUACGUAGAUGAGUCAAAGGUACAAAAUGAGAAUGGGGAACGAUUACUAAUUAUUAACAAAUUAUGAUUUAUCGGAAAAAUAAUGAAGAAACUUAUAAGAAUAGAAACAAUUGUUAACGAUUUUCACCCACUGAUCAUCGAAAAUUUAAAAAUCACUCUUAUGUGAAAGAGGGGAAGAAAGAAAAGCUAGAGAGAGAGAGAAAGAGAGAGAGAGAGAGAAGAGAAGCAUAGAUGGGUAGGGGGAGAAAGAUAACAAGUAUAAGAAAAAUAAGAAGGCUUUCAGUCCAACCACGAAGCACCUUUCUGUCUUUGCAUUCGAAUCGGGAAGCCGUGCAGCAAUGCAACUCUUUAAGUAUUCUUCUCAUAAUGUCCCUAUUGCCGUGUGAUUUCCUUCUCUCUCUUUCCUUCUCAUUCCCAUUCUCUUAUUCUCAUUCUCAUUCCCUGGCAUUGCGAAGAUAUUUACAAAAUGUAUCGUGGCCGAUGAACGAGAAGGCGGAGUAGGGUUCGGUGAUCCUGAAUAAAUAUGCUGAAUCACCUUGAACUUUCUCACCUCGAACGAAGCUGUCAAUCGGGUCCAUGUAGAAAUAAAAAAAAAACAAACAAAAAAAAUAGUAUACCAGAAUAUUAAGAAAAAUAUUUUUUAUGUAUAAAAUAAGACAAAUAAUUCCAGUUAGACUCGCCGUUACUUUUGCAAAUCAAAAUUAGAUAAAGAAAGGAAUACCUAAAAUUACACAAAUUUUCAAACGACGUUAUAGCUUAUACGUUAACACAGUUAUACAUAUAUAUAAUAGUAUACGUAAGUGUACAUAGUUAUAUAGUACAUAUAAUACAUAUUUAUCAGGUCAGGUUAAAAGUUCGUGCGCAUUAUACUAUUUAAAAAUUUCGCAAAAAUGCGCACGAAUUUUUGGACUGACCUAAUACAUAAUAAUAUAUAGCAUAUACUUUUUAUAAUUAUAUACAGUAGAAGUAAAGAACUUGCGGGGGUCGUGAGAUUUAAACUCUCCUCGGGACAUUUUUGGGCAGCCCUUGUUGGACACCUGUGAGGAUCACGCCGUGUAUAAACGGUGGGUUUGAAAGAAGAACGAAGGGAAAAGAGAGUUA
This 1720-nucleotide long non-coding RNA is filed under the name Polistes fuscatus (common paper wasp). RNAcentral's name for it is "uncharacterized LOC122519489, transcript variant X2". The record is from RNAcentral. Lineage: Eukaryota; Metazoa; Arthropoda; Insecta; Hymenoptera; Vespidae.